Molecule: ribosomal RNA, 272 nt
Filed under: uncultured Pseudomonadales bacterium
Lineage: Bacteria; Pseudomonadati; Pseudomonadota; Gammaproteobacteria; Pseudomonadales
Description: partial 16S ribosomal RNA
Rfam family: Bacterial small subunit ribosomal RNA
Source: RNAcentral
CUUGUGCCAGCCGCCGCGGUAAUACAGAGGGUGCAAGCGUUAAUCGGAAUUACUGGGCGUGAAGCGCGCGUAGGUGGUUCGUUAAGUUGGAUGUGAAAUCCCCGGGCUCAACCUGGGAACUGCAUUCAAAACUGACGAGCUAGAGUAUGGUAGAGGGUGGUGGAAUUUCCUGUGUAGCGGUGAAAUGCGUAGAUAUAGGAAGGAACACCAGUGGCGAAGGCGACCACCUGGACUGAUACUGACACUGAGGUGCGAAAGCGUGGGGAGCAAAC